Molecule: ribosomal RNA, 1346 nt
Filed under: uncultured bacterium
Lineage: Bacteria
Description: partial 16S ribosomal RNA
Rfam family: Bacterial small subunit ribosomal RNA
Source: RNAcentral
GACGAACGCUGGCGGCGUGCUUAACACAUGCAUGUCGAACGGAAAGGCCCUGCUUUUGUGGGGUGCUCGAGUGGCGAACGGGUGAGUAACACGUGAGUAACCUGCCCUUGACUUUGGGAUAACUUCAGGAAACUGGGGCUAAUACCGGAUAGGAGCUCCUGCUGCAUGGUGGGGGUUGGAAAGUGUCGGCGGUUGGGGAUGGACUCGCGGCUUAUCAGCUUGUUGGUGGGGUAGUGGCUUACCAAGGCUUUGACGGGUAGCCGGCCUGAGAGGGUGACCGGCCACAUUGGGACUGAGAUACGGCCCAGACUCCUACGGGAGGCAGCAGUGGGGAAUAUUGCACAAUGGGCGGAAGCCUGAUGCAGCAACGCCGCGUGCGGGAUGACGGCCUUCGGGUUGUAAACCGCUUUCGCCUGUGACGAAGCGUGAGUGACGGUAAUGGGUAAAGAAGCACCGGCUAACUACGUGCCAGCAGCCGCGGUGAUACGUAGGGUGCGAGCGUUGUCCGGAUUUAUUGGGCGUAAAGGGCUCGUAGGUGGUUGAUCGCGUCGGAAGUGUAAUCUUGGGGCUUAACCCUGAGCGCGCUUUCGAUACGGGUUGACUUGAGGAAGGUAGGGGAGAAUGGAAUUCCUGGUGGAGCGGUGGAAUGCGCAGAUAUCAGGAGGAACACCAGUGGCGAAGGCGGUUCUCUGGGCCUUUCCUGACGCUGAGGAGCGAAAGCGUGGGGAGCGAACAGGCUUAGAUACCCUGGUAGUCCACGCUGUAAACGGUGGGUACUAGGUGUGGGGUCCAUUCCACGGGUUCCGUGCCGUAGCUAACGCUUUAAGUACCCCGCCUGGGGAGUACGGCCGCAAGGCUAAAACUCAAAGGAAUUGACGGGGCCCCGCACAAGCGGCGGAGCAUGCGGAUUAAUUCGAUGCAACGCGUAGAACCUUACCUGGGUUUGACAUGGAUCGGGAGUGCUCAGAGAUGGGUGUGCCUCUUUUGGGGUCGGUUCACAGGUGGUGCAUGCCUGUCGUCAGCUCGUGUCGUGAGAUGUUGGGUUAAGUCCCGCAACGAGCGCAACCCUUGUUCACUGUUGCCAGCACGUUAUGGUGGGGACUCAGUGGAGACCGCCGGGGUCAACUCGGAGGAAGGUGGGGAUGACGUCAAGUCAUCAUGCCCCUUAUGUCCAGGGCUUCACGCAUGCUACAAUGGCUGGUACAGAGAGUGGCGAGCCUGUGAGGGUGAGCGAAUCUCGGAAAGCCGGUCUCAGUUCGGAUUGGGGUCUGCAACUCGACCUCAUGAAGUCGGAGUCGCUAGUAAUCGCAGAUCAGCAACGCUGCGGUGAAUACGUUCCCGGGGCU